RNAcentral lists this ribosomal RNA (130 nucleotides) under Burkholderia sp. TA_AY. RNAcentral's name for it is "partial 16S ribosomal RNA". Lineage: Bacteria; Pseudomonadati; Pseudomonadota; Betaproteobacteria; Burkholderiales; Burkholderiaceae. The record is from RNAcentral.
ACAGGGGCUGCCCUGGUGGCGAGUGGCGAACGGGUGAGUAAUACAUCGGAACGUGUCCUGUAGUGGGGGAUAGCCCGGCGAAAGCCGGAUUAAUACCGCAUACGAUCUACGGAAGAAAGCGGGGGAUCUU